CUGUGUAACUACAUAGGCAUUGGAAACAAGAGUGGAGAACGUUAUUCUUUCACUCUGGAGAUUAAGUGCAAUAAAAUACUGGAUUGCUUUGAAUAUUGCCAGCUUUUCGUUCCUUUCUGACUUUUCUCAAGGUACAAAGGAGCAAGACAUGGCAAAAAAUGUACAUAAAAGCAGGAGGAAGCAGAUGAGUCACAAGAGGCCUAGAUUAUUUGCACCAGAAAUGAGCCCAGAAUGGGUUGAAGUGACACUGCUGUGAUAAAGCUGAAUUAGCCCUUGACAAAAUUGUUUCUGAGACCUUUUCUCUUUUCUCCACCCUUUACCUUUCCUGUCCGUACCCAUCCACUCCCAUUUUCCUUCCCCGGGGCCCCAAGAACCUCCUCCAGUCAGUGAAAAUCUUCACCAAACUAAAUUGGAAAAAAACCGAUGUUAGGUAUCUACCCAUCUAUUUCACAAAUUCAGUAUCUCUUUGUGGCCCCUUCCUCCACCCUUCUGUUAGAUCUCCGUUGUGAUUAGAGAAGGGGCUACUUAGCAAGUCUUAGUCGCUUAGGAAUUUCAAGGGCUUUCAUGUUAAUGACUGUAACAGGCAGCAGCUAAAGGGCCCCAGUGAUCCCCACCUCCUGGUGUUCUGCCUGUGUGUAACCCCCUCUCUUUGAGUGUGAGCUGCACCUAGUGCCUGGAUUCUAACAGAAUAUGGCAAAAGUGAUGAGACGUCACUUCUGAGAUUAGGUUACAAAAAGAUUGUGGCUUCUUUCUUAGGCUCUUGCACUCUUUCUGGCUUACUCUGAGAGAAGCUGCCUGCCAUAUUGGGUAUGUCCUAUGGAUAGGAACAGAAGGAGGCCUUCAGCCAACAGCUGGCGAAGAACUGCAUCAUGCCAAUGACAGGAGUAAGCUUCCAAACUGAACCUUCCGGGGUCAAGUGAACCCAGACCUAGCUGACAGCCUGCCUGCAAUUUCAUGACUGACUUUGAGUCCGAGCCAUCCAGCUAAGCUGUGCCCAGAUUCCUGACCCACAGAAACUGUGAGAUAAUAAACGUUCGUUCUUUUAAAAUUCUAAAUGGGUAACAAACGACACAAUGAAUUAUCUCAUGUAAAACAUAAAAAUGAAUUUCAGUUAAAAUGAUAAUCAAUCCGUUUAAUUAGUGAACCAAUUAGUUAACUUUGCCCCGUAUUGCAGACAUCAGAACUCACCAGUCAGACUUUCAGUGUGCGUGCUGCGCUGAAGAGCCGAAAGGGCACACUACCAUCUGUAGUGCGAUGACUGAAAGUUGCUGUCAAAUCCCCGCCCAGGCGUAACGGUGCUGCAGGGCAGGGGGCGUGGCUUGGCCUCGCUACUGGCUGCUCGCUGCGCCUGCGCCUGCUCCUGCGCCUGCGUGGUGUGGUGUCCUUCGGCUGGCUAGGCUCUAGUCGGGAGAGCGCAAAGCACGGAAGUCGGAGAUCGCUGUGGCUGUAGCGGAGGGGGGGCGGUUACCCCUCCACCUGACCACAAGAGGCCCAUAGGCAACAGCCAUGGUACCCAUCUAGAAUAGCCUGAUCCUGAGCCCCACUUCCACAAGCUUGGCAGCAGCUAUGUGGCUCAACCAGAUAGCACAGAAGAUCUGAAGACCCAAGGCCCAGCAAGCCAAGAAAUUAAUAGAAUCUUUGAAUAUCUGGUACCGGAAGAUAAUGAAACUAGUGAUUUGGAGCAGUAGAAGAACUCACGGGAUGAAGUUUCACAUUUGGCUGCUCCAGGCGGUUCAAGUCUGCUUUGCUUCAAAAUACAGACUCACUCUCACCUUCAUGACAAUGCUGUGCCAUGGGCAGAAUGCAGAGGAGGGAAGGACCAAAAGAAGAGUGGAGUUGUGAGAUGAAGGAGCCUGAGUUCUUGAAUGACUAUGUGGAGCAGAGCCCAUCACCACUAUUGCUCAUCAAUCUAUAUUAGGCUGUGAUUUACACAAACAAUAAGUUAUUUUGUCUUAAGAAGCUGAGAUGUUGAGUUGAUUAUUACAGCAUAAAACCCUACUCAGACUGAUAUGUGCAAUUUAAUUCUGUUGAAAGAUCACCAUCGCAGCAUUAUAUGUAAUAGCCAGGAAUUGAAAAUAAUCUAAAUAUCCACUAAUAAGUUAUAGAAUGAUAUAUAGAGCAUAAUGUCAUUUUUUAUAAAAAUUAUACAUGUAUAGUUUCACCAGCAGAGAUAGUUGAAAAGAUUUGUCAAUCUGCUAAUGAUAUCGCUAUAGAGUAUGGGGUAGUGGGAGAUAUACUCUUCUUGCUAAGUAUAUUUUUCAAUAAUUUCAAUGUUUUUCAGAAUUUCUUAUUUUUAUAAUAAAUAAAAAAUAAUACUCAAUUUAAAAAUCAUGCACAUAGUUUGGUGACUUUGGUUGUCUUGAAUACUUCCUGGAAUAGGAAAUAAUAAAAGCAAAUAGUUAAUAAUUCUUAUGUGUAGAAGUCAGUAAUUACUGGAGAACAGCAAUUGACACAAAACAAACAAAACAUGAUAUAUAUCAAAAGGACAGUAGUACUAAUCUUAAGUGGUGAAAUGAUAGAUAAAUUUUGUUAUUUUUGCUUUAUUCUUUUCUGUGUUUUCCAAAUAUUCUGUGUUGAGAAUAUAAUAAAUUUGUAAUUAAGUAGAAAGCUAAAGUAUAGAUGUUGCAAAUGCAAUUAAAAAAUGAGAAAGCUUUCAAAUAAUACUACUCUUCUCUCUUCAAAUCUCUCUUAAACCAGGAAUGCGUCCUCCAAAGAUAUAAAAGCAUUAGCUUGACCUUCAGCAGUUCUUGUUGUACAGUUAUAAUUUUCUGGCUCUCACACACUAAAAUGAUCUUUUAGCCCACAAUGAUAGAUCAGAACCUGAAAUAAACAAGACCUAGCUGGGUCUUGAUUCAGGAAGAAAUCAUUUGAAUUCAGGAACCCUCUUUGCUUAAUGAAUCACCAUAGUGUGGCUACUACAGAGUGAGCAGGUAGCAGACUAAUAAUUGCCACUACUUUGCUGGCCAUUGUGAGCUAAUUAGGCCUGAUCUGAAAGAGAGAAACCAGGUAAGACAAAUUACAAAUAUAACUUAAAAAGCAAACUCUCAUCUUCUGUGUUCAUCAGAGUGUGGCCAGUACAAAGGAUUAUUCACUGAAGCUAUUUAUCCCUUGAGUGAUUAUCUGAGAGAGCGAUGGAGCUACCUCCAAGACUGAUGCUACUUGAGAACCCAGAGCAAAGAGCCAUGGGAGCCAAAAGCUACACUGUGAGCUAUUUGCUCUCUCUCUUGAAGCAAGCACCAUUCAUGUGUGUUAAGCGCAAGUUGGUCACCAUGCUAAAGGUGAAGGUUCAAGUGUUUGAAGAACAACUUUCUGUGUCAUGACUUAGACAAGUUAAAAAAAAAAAGAGUUCCUCAGCAGAAAACAAAAGCAAGUGCAGAAAAUUCGAGUUUAUAAGGAAAAAAAAGAAUCAAAGUGAGUGUUUAGAAGGGAGUGAAGGAAGGACUGUGACAAGAAGGACAGGUUCUUCCCAGAGGGUGAGUCUGUGCUUCCCAGGUGCUGAAGGAAGAGGUGCCUAAAGAUGGAAGUAGAAGCCUUUUUAAAAUUGGUGUCCUCAGUCAGAAAACUGUGGUUCCUCUGGGUCAGUGAUUUUUUUCUCCAGUAGUUAAUUUGAAAAAUUUCAAACAGAAGGUAAAAGGAUUUUAUAGUAAACACUCAUAUUUCCAUCAUCUAGGCCCUACCAUUAACAUUUUACAAUGUUUGUUUUAUUGUGUGUGUGUGUGUGUGU
This is a long non-coding RNA of Acinonyx jubatus (cheetah), 3724 nucleotides long. RefSeq lists it as uncharacterized. The record is from RefSeq and is a predicted model, not a curated record. The transcript has 5 exons. NCBI's taxonomy places the organism in Eukaryota, Metazoa, Chordata, Mammalia, Carnivora, Felidae.